ACCGGACCUUUUUCCAGUGUGAAACAGAGCAGAAAAUAAGGGUUUAUCCUACCAAGCCGAGCCACCACUGCCUGACAGUUUGGUGUCCCCGCUCUUCUGUAUCCCACUGUACUCUCAUUCUGGGAAGGUCCCUCCUCUAACAUGCAUGCAUUUUGCUGUGCCUCUGUCUCUCUCUGCCACCUCCUUUUAGUUUUGCUUCCCUCCACAUCCAGCUGCCUCCGACAGGGAAUGACACAGGCUCCAGAUGCUGUCUGCAAGUGCCCUCUCGAUUCCCAUAGCAACAACCCCUCUCGGCUUUGGGGCUGAGAGCUGCUGGGCAUCUGCUCUGUGGCUCUGACCAGCUCCCGUCACACACAAGACCAAGUGGUACUUAUCCCCGGGUGGGCUGGGGAGGGGAAACCUUCUUUAUCGGGGAGGCGAGAGAUGUCAUUUGAUAUUGUGGUGAAAUAGGACCGUAAUUAUUAAUUAGUGGCAACCCUCCUGGUGAGCUGCCUGUACCCUGCAGGCAGGGUGACGGGCUCCCAGCUGUGCCCUGCGAUGGGACUGUCCUUUCCAGGCACCCGCUGCAGCUGGGGCUCAGACCCUCUCAGCCCAAACUCGGCAGCUUAAUUUCCACAUCCCUUCUGUUAAUCAUUACAAGGACAGAAAGAAAAACCAGCAGCUUUUUUGUUUUGUUUUUUUUUUUCUUUUCCUCUGUAAACUCCAGAAGCAUGGAGAAAGCAUAAAGCCCGUGCUUUCGCCCAACAUCCUCCGUGCCACCCCCGGAGCCAAGGAAUUUGUCAUUUAAGUGAAGUAUCCUGGCAAAGGCAUCUCCCAUGGGAAGGUGUGGCCGAAAACCAGGGGGAAAGCGAAGUACCCGAUGGUCAAUUCUCUGAGCAGAUGCCAAAUGCCAUCUGCUGCCUGGCUGUGCCCUGCUGCAGUGCCCGCGCCGGUGGGGAGAUGGAGCAGCAGCGGCAGCGGUGGGUGACUCUUGGUCAUGGAAGAGCUUUGGAGGCAGGGUCUCUUCCACCCUCGCAAUGGAGAGGCUGUUGGAUGGGCUGCAAGCACGCAGAGCAGCUGGAAACAGCUCCUUCUCAGAAUGCACCGACAUGGACAAUGUCACCAACAGAGACAGCAAAACCAACGUAGAAGGCAGCUCCUGAGGUUUACAGGGAUGUAUAAGGUGAAUGUACAAGAGCUGCUAAUCAUCCAUUUUGACUGCUUUUAUGGGUCUGGGAAGGCUGAAAAAACUGCAUAUAGGAAACAGCCUGCACUUAGGAACAACAAUUGCUUUCUGAUGACACACAGAAAUGACAUUUAGAUGCUACUUCAACAGAUGCAUUAUUUUAUUAGAGGAAUUCAGGCAGACAAAUACAGGAGCUUUGUUUUCUCUGUUACUGUAUGACUUACCUCAUCUGCAGAUGAUAUAACCUUUCUACCAAGAGGUCUCAUUUCAAAUGACAGUGAAAAUUGUUCUGAGAACUAGCGGUGUUAGUUCUACUUCAGACUCUCAGGGGGUUUCAUCCACUCACCGUUUCUAGAGGUGCUUUGCUGGAGAGGGAUUUCAUCCUCCUCAAAAAAUUAUUUGCUGAAAUCUGUGGUAAGUUUAGAGUUUCCCGAUUCACCUGACAGCAAUGUGUAUGGGAAGUUUGUCUAAUGUAGCUCUAAUAAAAAUAUCAGUCCUAAAACA
Molecule: long non-coding RNA, 1669 nt
Filed under: Calidris pugnax (ruff)
Lineage: Eukaryota; Metazoa; Chordata; Aves; Charadriiformes; Scolopacidae
Description: lncRNA (ENSCPUG00000012261.1)
Source: RNAcentral